UACGUAGGUGGCAAGCGUUGUCCGGAUUUACUGGGCGUAAAGAGCGCGCAGGCGGUCGGAUAAGUCGAAUGUGAAAGCCCCCGGCUUAACUGGGGAGGGUCAUUCGAUACUGUUCGACUGGAAGGCAGGAGAGGGAAGCGGAAUUCCCGGUGUAGUGGUGAAAUGCGUAGAUAUCGGGAGGAACACCAGUGGCGAAGGCGGCUUCCUGGCCUGUUCUUGACGCUGAGGCGCGAAAGCUAGGGGAGCAAACGGG
This 253-nucleotide ribosomal RNA is filed under the name uncultured bacterium. Its description in RNAcentral is "partial 16S ribosomal RNA". It matches the Rfam family "Bacterial small subunit ribosomal RNA", at positions 524 to 776 of the family's 1533-position model. The record is from RNAcentral.